RNAcentral lists this transfer RNA (83 nucleotides) under Trichoglossum hirsutum. It matches the Rfam family "tRNA". Rfam says of the family: Transfer RNA (tRNA) molecules are approximately 80 nucleotides in length. Their secondary structure includes four short double-helical elements and three loops (D, anti-codon, and T loops). Lineage: Eukaryota; Fungi; Ascomycota; Geoglossomycetes; Geoglossales; Geoglossaceae. The record is from Rfam by way of RNAcentral.
GGGCAAUUGGUCUAGUGGUCUGAUAUCCGCUUCGCACACCGCGAGAAUGCGGAGGGUCGUGGGUUCGAUUCCCACAUUGUCCA